This 1524-nucleotide ribosomal RNA is filed under the name Salmonella enterica subsp. enterica serovar Bareilly. RNAcentral's name for it is "bacterial SSU rRNA". It matches the Rfam family "Bacterial small subunit ribosomal RNA". The record is from RNAcentral. Lineage: Bacteria; Pseudomonadati; Pseudomonadota; Gammaproteobacteria; Enterobacterales; Enterobacteriaceae.
AAAUUGAAGAGUUUGAUCAUGGCUCAGAUUGAACGCUGGCGGCAGGCCUAACACAUGCAAGUCGAACGGUAACAGGAAGCAGCUUGCUGCUUUGCUGACGAGUGGCGGACGGGUGAGUAAUGUCUGGGAAACUGCCUGAUGGAGGGGGAUAACUACUGGAAACGGUGGCUAAUACCGCAUAACGUCGCAAGACCAAAGAGGGGGACCUUCGGGCCUCUUGCCAUCAGAUGUGCCCAGAUGGGAUUAGCUAGUUGGUGAGGUAACGGCUCACCAAGGCGACGAUCCCUAGCUGGUCUGAGAGGAUGACCAGCCACACUGGAACUGAGACACGGUCCAGACUCCUACGGGAGGCAGCAGUGGGGAAUAUUGCACAAUGGGCGCAAGCCUGAUGCAGCCAUGCCGCGUGUAUGAAGAAGGCCUUCGGGUUGUAAAGUACUUUCAGCGGGGAGGAAGGUGUUGUGGUUAAUAACCGCAGCAAUUGACGUUACCCGCAGAAGAAGCACCGGCUAACUCCGUGCCAGCAGCCGCGGUAAUACGGAGGGUGCAAGCGUUAAUCGGAAUUACUGGGCGUAAAGCGCACGCAGGCGGUCUGUCAAGUCGGAUGUGAAAUCCCCGGGCUCAACCUGGGAACUGCAUUCGAAACUGGCAGGCUUGAGUCUUGUAGAGGGGGGUAGAAUUCCAGGUGUAGCGGUGAAAUGCGUAGAGAUCUGGAGGAAUACCGGUGGCGAAGGCGGCCCCCUGGACAAAGACUGACGCUCAGGUGCGAAAGCGUGGGGAGCAAACAGGAUUAGAUACCCUGGUAGUCCACGCCGUAAACGAUGUCUACUUGGAGGUUGUGCCCUUGAGGCGUGGCUUCCGGAGCUAACGCGUUAAGUAGACCGCCUGGGGAGUACGGCCGCAAGGUUAAAACUCAAAUGAAUUGACGGGGGCCCGCACAAGCGGUGGAGCAUGUGGUUUAAUUCGAUGCAACGCGAAGAACCUUACCUGGUCUUGACAUCCACAGAACUUUCCAGAGAUGGAUUGGUGCCUUCGGGAACUGUGAGACAGGUGCUGCAUGGCUGUCGUCAGCUCGUGUUGUGAAAUGUUGGGUUAAGUCCCGCAACGAGCGCAACCCUUAUCCUUUGUUGCCAGCGGUUAGGCCGGGAACUCAAAGGAGACUGCCAGUGAUAAACUGGAGGAAGGUGGGGAUGACGUCAAGUCAUCAUGGCCCUUACGACCAGGGCUACACACGUGCUACAAUGGCGCAUACAAAGAGAAGCGACCUCGCGAGAGCAAGCGGACCUCAUAAAGUGCGUCGUAGUCCGGAUUGGAGUCUGCAACUCGACUCCAUGAAGUCGGAAUCGCUAGUAAUCGUGGAUCAGAAUGCCACGGUGAAUACGUUCCCGGGCCUUGUACACACCGCCCGUCACACCAUGGGAGUGGGUUGCAAAAGAAGUAGGUAGCUUAACCUUCGGGAGGGCGCUUACCACUUUGUGAUUCAUGACUGGGGUGAAGUCGUAACAAGGUAACCGUAGGGGAACCUGC